Long non-coding RNA from Dendroctonus ponderosae (mountain pine beetle), 605 nucleotides. RefSeq lists it as uncharacterized. The record is from RefSeq and is a predicted model, not a curated record. Lineage: Eukaryota; Metazoa; Arthropoda; Insecta; Coleoptera; Curculionidae. The transcript is spliced from 2 exons.
GGUCCUAGUGACAUACAAUCCGUUGCUGGUUGGAUUAAACCUUUAUUGUUUCUAAAUGCUGAGGAAGUUUAGAUGGCUACCAAACUCAAAAGAGCACUCAUCAUGUCUGCUAGUUCCACAGUUUUUUGUUCACAAAACUGGGGCUCAAUUACAUGAAAACAGUUGACAUGUGUUGGUUGUUUCGUCUCAUCGCCCGUAAAGCAAGUUAGAAUGACUGAACGAGAAAUGUGCUUUGCCAAUAGUCUAUUUUAAUAUGUUUUGUGGUUUAUUUUAUUUUACUAGAUAUUUUUGCAUCGGAGGGAAGACAUUGUAACGCUGUCAAUAUGUGUAUUAAUUCUCAAUGUUUUUUAGUAUAAACUGUCUGUCUUUUGCAUUGAUUUUGCACUGGAAUUUUUAUAUGCACUGCUAAAUAGUUUCUCAUACUUGUAAGUGACUAGUAAAAUUAGUCUCAUUAAAUUGCCAAAAGUUGAAUUAAGAUCUGCUCUCGCUGCGAAAAUAAAACAGAAAAGCUUGCAAGAGCAAACUGCAUUUUUACAAGACAAUUCACGUAUAUUUACAUGUAAUGAAAACACUCAUUAUGAAUAAGUACACACGUUUAUAAUUGC